AGUGGAUGGGGAGCAACCUAGUUGUGCGUGUGUAAAGGUAGUGCCAAGAAAAGCGAUGAUCAUGUUGAAAAUCAAUUCCCGGUACCCGAAACCGACACAGGUGGGCAAGUAGAGAAUACUAAGGGGCGCGAGGUAACUCUCUCCAAGGAACUCGGCAAAAUGACCCCGUAACUUAGGGAGAAGGGGUGCCACCGAGAGGUGGUCGCAGUGAAGAGGCCCGGGCGACUGUUUAGCAAAAACAUAGGUCUCUGCAAACUCGAAAGAGGAGGUAUAGGGGCUGACGCCUGCCCAGUGCCGGAAGGUUAAAGAAGUUGGUCAGUUUUAGGAUGAAGCUAGCGACUGAAGCCCCGGUGAACGGCGGCCGUAACUAUAACGGUCCUAAGGUAGCGAAAUUCCUUGUCGGGUAAGUUCCGACCCGCACGAAAGGCGUAACGAUCUGGGCGCUGUCUCGGAGAGAGGCUCGGCGAAAUAGGAUUGUCUGUGAAGAUACGGACUACCUGCAUUUGGACAGCAAGACCCUAUGAAGCUUUACUAUAGCUUGGAAUUGUGUUCGGGCUUCCUGUGCGCAGGAUAGGUGGGAGGCGUAGAAGGUAUUCUUGUGGGGAUACUGGAGCCAACGGUGAGAUACCACUCUCAGGAGGCUAGAAUUCUAACUUAAUUAAGGACAGUUUCAGGUGGGUAGUUUGACUGGGGCGGUCGCCUCCAAAAAGGUAACGGAGGCGUACAAAGGUUCCCUCAGACUGGUUGGAAAUCAGUCGAAGAGUGCAAAGGCAGAAGGGAGCUUGACUGCGAGAAGUACAGUUCGAGCAGGGUGGAAACACGGUCUUAGUGAUCCGACGGUGCUGUGUGGAAGGGCCGUCGCUCAACGGAUAAAAGUUACUCUAGGAUAACAGGCUGAUCUCCCCCAAGAGUUCACAUCGACGGGGAGGUUUGGCACCUCGAUGUCGGCUCAUCGCAACCUGGGGCGGAAGUACGUCCCAAGGGUUGGGCUGUUCGCCCAUUAAAGCGGUACGUGAGCUGGGUUCAGAACGUCGUGAGACAGUUCGGUCCAUAUCCGAUGUAGGCGUGAGAAUAUUGAGAGGAGCCUUCCUUAGUACGAGAGGACCGGGAAGGACGCACCGCUGGUGUACCUGUUAUGAUGCCAAUUGUAAACGCAGGGUAGCCAAGUGCGGAGAGGAUAACCGCUGAAAGCAUCUAAGUGGGAAGCCCACCUCAAGAUGAGUAUUCUGGUGUAAGGUCACGGGAAGACGACCCGUAAAUAGGCACGAGGUGGAAGUGCAGAGAUGUACGAAGCCGAAGUGUACUAAUAGACCGUCGGCUUGACC
This 1325-nucleotide ribosomal RNA is filed under the name metagenome. Its description in RNAcentral is "bacterial LSU rRNA". It matches the Rfam family "Bacterial large subunit ribosomal RNA", at positions 1561 to 2925 of the family's 2925-position model. The record is from RNAcentral.